GCCUGGGUGGCGGAACUGGUAGACGCAAGGGACUUAAAAUCCCUCGGCCUUAGGGCUGUACGAGUUCAAUUCUCGUCCCAGGUACCA
RNAcentral lists this transfer RNA (87 nucleotides) under Desulfobacter sp. RNAcentral's name for it is "tRNA-Leu". It matches the Rfam family "tRNA". From Rfam's summary of the family: Transfer RNA (tRNA) molecules are approximately 80 nucleotides in length. Their secondary structure includes four short double-helical elements and three loops (D, anti-codon, and T loops). RNAcentral also lists the same sequence under 2 other names. Lineage: Bacteria; Pseudomonadati; Thermodesulfobacteriota; Desulfobacteria; Desulfobacterales; Desulfobacteraceae. The record is from RNAcentral.